UUAGGGUUUAGAGUUUAGGGUUUAGAGUUUAUGGUUUAGAGUUUAGAGUUUAGGGGUGGAGUUUAGGCUUUAGGGUUUAGAGUUAAAGGGUGGGGUUUAGGAUUUAGGGUUUAGGAUUUAGGAUUUAGGGUUUAGAGUUUAGGGUUUAGGGUUUAGAGUUAGGAGUGGGGUUUUGGGAUAAGAUUUCAAAUUUUAAAAAAUAAAAAAAAAUUAAAUUUUUCAAAAGAUAAAAUGCUAUUUUGGUCAUUUUAGUUUUUGAGGGCUAUUUUUGUGACAUAAACUUAGAAAAGUGCUAUUUUGGAGAUUUGUACAUUUUAAAACUUGGAUUUUAUGAUUAUAUGUUGAUUUUUUGUUGUAUGGUUUAAAUAUGAAGUUUAAAGUUUAGGGUAUAU
RNAcentral lists this long non-coding RNA (392 nucleotides) under Brassica napus (rape). RNAcentral's name for it is "long non-coding RNA (BNAP_LNC016465)". The record is from RNAcentral. Lineage: Eukaryota; Viridiplantae; Streptophyta; Magnoliopsida; Brassicales; Brassicaceae.